GUAGGCCGAAAUAUAAAAGAAAGCUACCGUUAGGCGGCAACUAAAGCUCAUUAAUUUAACUUACCCAAAAAGGAAACCAAGUGGGCGUGGGAAAUUCAGACCAAACAAUACCGAGAUAGAGGGACCGAAAAACAGGAUGUGCGGCCAGGUACGAGGAGGCAACAAGAAAAAACCACCAAGAAAAAGUAGCACGGAAGCGGAUUUUCAUUCAAGUUGCCAGUCAGGAGGAGAGGAGGAGGACGCUUUCUCCAUCUCGGCCCACUUUUUCUCCUUGGUAAUGAUUCAGCAUUAAAUUUCGGGUGACUGAAGAAAGGCAAGAAACAACAAAAUCAGCAGAAACACCAACAGCAACAAAGAAAAUCAGUAAAAUGAAACGAUGUCAAAGCAAAUGAAACUGAAGAUGAGACCAGAGCGAAA
Drosophila yakuba is the source of this 417-nucleotide long non-coding RNA. RefSeq lists it as uncharacterized. Lineage: Eukaryota; Metazoa; Arthropoda; Insecta; Diptera; Drosophilidae. The transcript is spliced from 2 exons. The record is from RefSeq and is a predicted model, not a curated record.